RNAcentral lists this ribosomal RNA (711 nucleotides) under uncultured Serratia sp. RNAcentral's name for it is "bacterial SSU rRNA". It matches the Rfam family "Bacterial small subunit ribosomal RNA", at positions 768 to 1479 of the family's 1533-position model. Lineage: Bacteria; Pseudomonadati; Pseudomonadota; Gammaproteobacteria; Enterobacterales; Yersiniaceae. The record is from RNAcentral.
GCGAACGGGAUUAGAUACCCUGGUAGUCCACGCCGUAAACGAUGUCGACUUGGAGGUUGUUCCCUUGAGGAGUGGCUUCCGGAGCUAACGCGUUAAGUCGACCGCCAGGGGAGUACGGCCGCAAGGUUAAAACUCAAAUGAAUUGACGGGGGCCCGCACAAGCGGUGGAGCAUGUGGUUUAAUUCGAUGCAACGCGAAGAACCUUACCUACUCUUGACAUCCAGAGAACUUAGCAGAGAUGCUUUGGUGCCUUCGGGAACUCUGAGACAGGUGCUGCAUGGCUGUCGUCAGCUCGUGUUGUGAAAUGUUGGGUUAAGUCCCGCAACGAGCGCAACCCUUAUCCUUUGUUGCCAGCGGUUAGGCCGGGAACUCAAAGGAGACUGCCAGUGAUAAACUGGAGGAAGGUGGGGAUGACGUCAAGUCAUCAUGGCCCUUACGAGUAGGGCUACACACGUGCUACAAUGGCGCAUACAAAGAGAAGCGACCUCGCGAGAGCAAGCGGACCUCAUAAAGUGCGUCGUAGUCCGGAUUGGAGUCUGCAACUCGACUCCAUGAAGUCGGAAUCGCUAGUAAUCGUAGAUCAGAAUGCUACGGUGAAUACGUUCCCGGGCCUUGUACACACCGCCCGUCACACCAUGGGAGUGGGUUGCAAAAGAAGUAGGUAGCUUAACCUUCGGGAGGGCGCUUACCACUUUGUGAUUCAUGACUGGG